This 272-nucleotide long non-coding RNA is filed under the name Elaeis guineensis (African oil palm). RNAcentral's name for it is "long non-coding RNA (EGUI_LNC055394)". The record is from RNAcentral. Lineage: Eukaryota; Viridiplantae; Streptophyta; Magnoliopsida; Arecales; Arecaceae.
GGGUGCCAAUACCUUUGAUUUUCUCCAUCCCAAUUUUUUUCAAAAUUUCUUUGGUGUACUUAUUUUAGUUGAUGAAGAUCUCCUCUUUCUUUUGCUUGAUUUAGAACAAUCUUGACACAAGACUUUAUUAGUUGCAUAAAAAAUUAUAUCAUAUAUAUAAAUUUGUGCAAUUAAGAGAUCAAUUUGUUUACUUUUAAUAAACAAGCUUGUAUGAAUAUUUUUUCUUUUAAAAUCAUUUUCAAGAAAAAAAAUUAUUUAAUCUUUCAUAUCAA